This 1300-nucleotide unclassified non-coding RNA is filed under the name Bombus terrestris (buff-tailed bumblebee). Its description in RNAcentral is "misc RNA ENSBTSG00005020025.1". Lineage: Eukaryota; Metazoa; Arthropoda; Insecta; Hymenoptera; Apidae. The record is from RNAcentral.
CACACACUUACAUAUAUGUAUAUACAUAUAUAUUUGAGGAGAUCCACAUGGGUCGCAAGAAUAGGUUGACAGGAUAGACUCUUCUAAUAGACUUUGCAGACGGACAUAAUAGAAAUAUUUAAUAUAUAGCAUCAUAUAUUAAUAUAAUAUUUAGUAAUAAUAUAAUAUCUAUUAUAUAUUAAUAUGUAUGAUAUUUUUUUGUUUGUUUUUAAUAAUAGCAUCCUUUCUCUUCUCGCUUUGUCUGAGGUGUGAUAUCCAGCGAUUUUCUAAUUUUCCUUACAUUCAAAUUCAGUACAGGAUGCAUUUUGUACGACCUGUUGACUUAUACAACCAUCGUCUGGUCGUUUCACAACGUAUGCGUAUUCUACCAUAGAAACAAAUAUACACGAUUUCUUCCGAAAUGCUUCUAAUCGAAGAUAAAAAUAAACGAUUUUCAUGUCCGAUCUUAAAUAAAAAGUACCUAAAGUUUACGUAACAAAUUCUUACGAUCAGUUUAUGCAUUUCUUCGACAAAUUAAACGUGGGGUAGAUGUUGUAUGAAGGAGAAGCGGUGAAUAUCAUAAGAAAGUAUGUUUACUUCUUCUUUGAUUCUUCAGAAGGAUCAACGAGAAUCGAAGAAUUCAUAGGAUCGAAAGACAAUGAUUCAUAAUUUCGGUAAAGUCAUCUAAGAAAUUUACUAACGUUGAAUAUAUAAAUAUUUCGGAGAAAACACCAUUCACAUAAACUUUUCUGUUUCUAGUCAUCAAAGUGUUUCACAAAAAUCGGAACAAUUUAAUUUAAGAUUAAACAGAUUCUAUUUUAAAGGUAAGUGGUAAAUGAGAUAUAUUCAUUGAAAGUUCACAGUUUCGUUUGUUAGACACGAGUUUGCAAUAUCAAACAUCAUGAAACAAUUUGAUAUAUCCACUCAAGGUACAAGAAAUAGAAUCGUUUAAUGUGCCACAAUUUAUUUAAUUGAUAUAAGUAAAAUGUUCCGAGAGAUUUAUUCGACGAACUAAGCGAUUCCCUUAAUCGUCUAAUUAUACUAACAAAAAUCAAUGUCUGACGCGCACGAUGCUUGCGAAUGAUGAGAUCUAAAAUGAUGAUGAUGAUCGUCGAUAAAUAAAAGAUAUGCACGGCUACACGCUAAUAGCUAAAAAUUGUCCAGGAACCUUGUUUCAAGCGCGAAUACAGGAGAAAACUGAAACGCACGAUAUACAAAUGAAACGCGUGGAACAAGUGCAAUUUUUCUACGCGCGAUGAAAAUGAAGCUUACUCAGUGUCGCGAGAUUUUUGUACAAAAAUGCUUCGCUGUUCCAGCGAAA